GAUGAACGCUGGCGGCGUGCCUAAUACAUGCAAGUCGAGCGAACAGACGAGGAGCUUGCUCCUCUGACGUUAGCGGCGGACGGGUGAGUAAUACGUGGAUAACCUACCUAUAAGACUGGGAUAACUUCGGCAAACCGGAGCUAAUACCGGAUAAUAUAUUGAACCGCAUGGUUCAAUAGUGAAAGACGGUUUUGCUGUCACUUAUAGAUGGAUCCGCGCCGCAUUAGCUAGUUGGUAAGGUAACGGCUUACCAAGGCGACGAUGCGUAGCCGACCUGAGAGGGUGAUCGGCCACACUGGAACUGAGACACGGUCCAGACUCCUACGGGAGGCAGCAGUAGGGAAUCUUCCGCAAUGGGCGAAAGCCUGACGGAGCAACGCCGCGUGAGUGAUGAAGGUCUUCGGAUCGUAAAACUCUGUUAUUAGGGAAGAACAAAUGUGUAAGUAACUAUGCACGUCUUGACGGUACCUAAUCAGAAAGCCACGGCUAACUACGUG
Molecule: ribosomal RNA, 497 nt
Filed under: uncultured bacterium
Lineage: Bacteria
Description: partial 16S ribosomal RNA
Rfam family: Bacterial small subunit ribosomal RNA
Source: RNAcentral